This 202-nucleotide unclassified non-coding RNA is filed under the name Hevea brasiliensis (rubber tree). Lineage: Eukaryota; Viridiplantae; Streptophyta; Magnoliopsida; Malpighiales; Euphorbiaceae. The record is from RNAcentral.
GCAUACUGCUGAGCCAACACUAUUUUGAAGCUCGGUUGAAGUACCAUUUCCUUUGACCAGUUUUAUUACAUCCUGUAAAUCUGUAGUAUUUAAAUGAUCACUUCCCCUAGCAACAAAGGGAAAUAAUUGGACCUCACAGGCAAGAGCACAAACAGCAGCCAGGACAUAAGAAUCAAAUGCAGAAACAGGACCUUGCUUUUUA